This 365-nucleotide ribosomal RNA is filed under the name uncultured bacterium. RNAcentral's name for it is "bacterial SSU rRNA". It matches the Rfam family "Bacterial small subunit ribosomal RNA", at positions 527 to 891 of the family's 1533-position model. The record is from RNAcentral.
GUAGGGUGCGAGCGUUAAUCGGAAUUACUGGGCGUAAAGCGUGCGCAGGCGGUUUUGUAAGCCAGAUGUGAAAUCCCCGGGCUUAACCUGGGAAUGGCAUUUGGGACUGCAAGGCUGGAGUACGGCAGAGGAGACUGGAAUUCCUGGUGUAGCAGUGAAAUGCGUAGAGAUCAGGAGGAAUACCGAUGGCGAAGGCAGGUCUCUGGGCUGAUACUGACGCUCAUGCACGAAAGCGUGGGGAGCAAACAGGAUUAGAUACCCUGGUAGUCCACGCCCUAAACGAUGUCGACUGGUUGUUGGGGGUUUGACACUCUCAGUAACGAAGCUAACGCGUGAAGUCGACCGCCUGGGGAGUACGGCCGCAA